This is a long non-coding RNA of Salvia miltiorrhiza (redroot sage), 738 nucleotides long. RefSeq lists it as uncharacterized. NCBI's taxonomy places the organism in Eukaryota, Viridiplantae, Streptophyta, Magnoliopsida, Lamiales, Lamiaceae. The record is from RefSeq and is a predicted model, not a curated record. The transcript has 3 exons.
CAAACAUGAACAAAACAUGAAUGUUUUUAUUCCAGAGCGCCAAUCGAACUGUGUUGAUUUCAUCUUUAGAAAUUAAUUUCUUCUUCUUCUUUCUUUAGCCCACAAAUUCUUUUUUCUCUCUUUCUCUUUGUCUAGCACAUCUGAAUUUCUUUUUCUUUUUCCUUUUAGUCUUGUUUUCUCAUCAUGUUAUGAAGAUCAAAUUUCUACAAUGUUGAAAUCUGAAAAUCCCCAAUUUUAUUCAUCCCUAUUAUUAAUAACUAUGGGAGUCGAGAAGCAUUCGAUUUUCCAGCACCAACAGCUUCCCAAAUGAGGGUUCAGUUCAGCCUUCUCGCAAAUCCUCCAUUCACGAAAACGGUAUUGGGAGCAUGAGAUGAUCUGCAUGGAAGAUCUUAUUCAUGAGAUCUUGACUGAGGGACCCCGUUUUAAGGAGGCCAACAACUUUUUAUGGUUGUUCCAACUGAAAGCACCUUUGGGUGGAUUGAAGAAGAAGAAGAGGAAUCACUAUGUUGAAGGCGGUGAUGUUGGUAAUCGUACGUGAUAAUUUAAUUAAUGAGCUGAUUAGGAUGAUGAAUUAUGCUUUGGUGUUCAGAUUUUGCUUAAAUGAUUUUUGACUGUUACCAGUUCUUUAACUGGAUUUUUGCAGUUUGUUUUAGACAUGAACUUCCAAAUAUAAACAAGUUUUUAUUUGUUUUCUGAGUUAUGGAUGAUAUACUUGUAUUUAAUAUGUGAUUUUCUUGA